UUCAAUGGCGGGCAGUGCGUGGGAGGGCGCAAGCCCUGCCGGUCCGUCUGCCGGUCUGUCAACCCGCGUACUGUCCGCCACCUUC
RNAcentral lists this non-coding RNA (85 nucleotides) under Aquimonas voraii. The record is from RNAcentral. Lineage: Bacteria; Pseudomonadati; Pseudomonadota; Gammaproteobacteria; Lysobacterales; Lysobacteraceae.